UCGCUGCCAGUUGCCAACGGGUGGAAGCCGGGCGACUCUGGCGGGACUGCCAUCGACAAGAUGGAGGAAGGUGGGGAUGACGUCAAGUCAUCAUGGCCCUUAUGUCCAGGGCGACACACGUGCUACAAUGGCCGGCACAGCGGGAAGCGAGGCAGUGAUGCCAAGCGGAUCCCUUAAAGCCGGUCUCAGUUCGGAUUGAAGUCUGCAACUCGACUUCAUGAAGCUGGAAUCGCUAGUAAUCGCAGAUCAGCCAAGCUGCGGUGAAUACGUUCCCGGGCCUU
This 281-nucleotide ribosomal RNA is filed under the name uncultured Synergistaceae bacterium. RNAcentral's name for it is "partial 16S ribosomal RNA". It matches the Rfam family "Bacterial small subunit ribosomal RNA", at positions 1105 to 1382 of the family's 1533-position model. The record is from RNAcentral. Lineage: Bacteria; Thermotogati; Synergistota; Synergistia; Synergistales; Synergistaceae.